RNAcentral lists this ribosomal RNA (770 nucleotides) under Bacillus paramycoides. Its description in RNAcentral is "bacterial SSU rRNA". It matches the Rfam family "Bacterial small subunit ribosomal RNA", at positions 48 to 798 of the family's 1533-position model. The record is from RNAcentral. Lineage: Bacteria; Bacillati; Bacillota; Bacilli; Caryophanales; Bacillaceae.
CUAAUACAUGCAAGUCGAGCGAAUGGAUUAAGAGCUUGCUCUUAUGAAGUUAGCGGCGGACGGGUGAGUAACACGUGGGUAACCUGCCCAUAAGACUGGGAUAACUCCGGGAAACCGGGGCUAAUACCGGAUAACAUUUUGAACCGCAUGGUUCGAAAUUGAAAGGCGGCUUCGGCUGUCACUUAUGGAUGGACCCGCGUCGCAUUAGCUAGUUGGUGAGGUAACGGCUCACCAAGGCAACGAUGCGUAGCCGACCUGAGAGGGUGAUCGGCCACACUGGGACUGAGACACGGCCCAGACUCCUACGGGAGGCAGCAGUAGGGAAUCUUCCGCAAUGGACGAAAGUCUGACGGAGCAACGCCGCGUGAGUGAUGAAGGCUUUCGGGUCGUAAAACUCUGUUGUUAGGGAAGAACAAGUGCUAGUUGAAUAAGCUGGCACCUUGACGGUACCUAACCAGAAAGCCACGGCUAACUACGUGCCAGCAGCCGCGGUAAUACGUAGGUGGCAAGCGUUAUCCGGAAUUAUUGGGCGUAAAGCGCGCGCAGGUGGUUUCUUAAGUCUGAUGUGAAAGCCCACGGCUCAACCGUGGAGGGUCAUUGGAAACUGGGAGACUUGAGUGCAAAAGAGGAAAGUGGAAUUCCAUGUGUAGCGGUGAAAUGCGUAGAGAUAUGGAGGAACACCAGUGGCGAAGGCGACUUUCUGGUCUGUAACUGACACUGAGGCGCGAAAGCGUGGGGAGCAAACAGAAUUAGAUACCCUGGUAGUCCAC